This 1348-nucleotide long non-coding RNA is filed under the name Anser cygnoides (Swan goose). RNAcentral's name for it is "lncRNA (ENSACDG00005018612.1)". The record is from RNAcentral. Lineage: Eukaryota; Metazoa; Chordata; Aves; Anseriformes; Anatidae.
CUUCGCCUCUGGCCCCUGCACCCCCCCGCUGCGCCGUGGCUCGGUGAGGGCAGCACACGGCGUGCCUUGUGUUGUGCAAUUAACCACUGCUCGGUGGAACAAUAACGAUCCUCGUUAAUGAGCGCGGCACUGGGCAGUCAGGGCACGGCACCCCGCACAGGGCAGUCGUGCAGCAGGAGCAAACCCACAGAGCGAUGCUGGAAGUCACGAGCUGGGGCCGCAGCCCUUUGCUUGCUGUCUUUGCACCGAAGCUGCUGGGGGGGCUGUGCCUUGUGCAGCCACUUUGGGGACAGAAGGGACCAGCACAGCCUUGCUGGGCACGAUGCUGGGGCAGGCGAGAGUCCCCCGGCGAGGCUGGUGGAGACAGCACGUCGGUCACUCCCUGGCACACAGGGGUAGCCUGCAGUUCACCGUUUCUCCAUUACUCACAGCCAAAAUAACUGCUGCAGACACGGGGACACCGUCCCCGAGGCUCUGAGGCAGGAGGGGGACAGGGGGUUAUGUCAGAAGCUGACUGAGGUCUGUGCAGGGCUCUGCACCCUGGCCAGCCUCGGGUUUGCCCCCCGAGCAGAGACGUUGGUGCGUUGGGGUCGUGUUGUUGGUGCAGUGGGGUCGCGCUGCCCGGCACGCAGAGCCCAAACCGCGCGGCGCAGGGGGCCGGGGCUCCGCUUCCUGCUGCAGGGACGCGGCUGGCUACCACGCUCGUGCUGCGCUGCUGCGGGCGCAGGCACGCGGGAGCAUUUUUCAAAACCAGCCUUUGGAUGCUCGCCGUGGGUUUGGGGCCGGGUUGUUAACGUACGAGACGCGUGCCGCUGGGUGGGAGCGCGCGCUGCUGGCGCUUCCCUCCCCCCCCCCCGAGAGGCACCGUGCAGCAGCACCACGGGGCCACGCGCGCCCCGAUGGCUUGGCAGGCGGCCCUGGGGUGCGGGGUGGGGGUCCCCAGGAGCCCCCACCCGUGGGGUACCCCAGGGAGCUUUGCCUCUGAGGUUGCCCUGUGCUUACAGUGGUGCCCUGGUGGACCCCCAUGCCUGGGGGGGGUCCCCAUUCAUCCUAAGGGGACCCUGGGGACCCCAACCAACCCCCUGGGACCUCGGGACCUGCACUGCUGAGGAUACCCCAGAGACCCUCACCUCCAAGGCUGCCCCAGGGGACCCACACCUGCAGGGACCCCCGGGGGACCUGCAGUGCCCAGGGGGACCCUCACCCUUAGGCAUCUCCCAGGCCCCCCCAACCCUUGUGACACCACGGGGGACCCUCACCCAUGGGGGUACCCCUGUUCUUGGGGACACCACCAGCUCCCUGACCCAUAGGGACACUCGGGGGUGUUAGGGGGGGCACCCCAAAGACC